Molecule: unclassified non-coding RNA, 153 nt
Filed under: plant metagenome
Description: partial contains small subunit ribosomal RNA and internal transcribed spacer 1
Rfam family: Eukaryotic small subunit ribosomal RNA (bases 1-46)
Source: RNAcentral
AAGUCGUAACAAGGUUUCCGUAGGUGAACCUGCGGAAGGAUCAUUAUCAAUUCUAGCAAGUAACCCUUUAGGGUUCUUACGCACGUAUUUAAAACCCACACUUUAUGAAAUUUUAUAUAUAUAUUUUACUUUUAAUAAGUAAUUAAAAGAUCA